Molecule: ribosomal RNA, 466 nt
Filed under: uncultured bacterium
Lineage: Bacteria
Description: partial 16S ribosomal RNA
Rfam family: Bacterial small subunit ribosomal RNA
Source: RNAcentral
GAUGAACGCUGGCGGCGUGCUUAACACAUGCAAGUCGAACGAUGAAGCCCAGCUUGCUGGGUGGAUUAGUGGCGAACGGGUGAGUAACACGUGAGUAACCUGCCCUUAACUCUGGGAUAAGCCUUGGAAACUGGGUCUAAUACCGGAUAGGAGCGUCCACCGCAUGGUGGGUGUUGGAAAGAUUUAUCGGUUUUGGAUGGACUCGCGGCCUAUCAGCUUGUUGGUGAGGUAAUGGCUCACCAAGGCGACGACGGGUAGCCGGCCUGAGAGGGUGACCGGCCACACUGGGACUGAGACACGGCCCAGACUCCUACGGGAGGCAGCAGUGGGGAAUAUUGCACAAUGGGCGCAAGCCUGAUGCAGCGACGCCGCGUGAGGGAUGACGGCCUUCGGGUUGUAAACCUCUUUCAGUAGGGAAGAAGCGAAAGUGACGGUACCUGCAGAAGAAGCACCGGCUAACUACGUG